Non-coding RNA from Pelobates cultripes (western spadefoot toad), 239 nucleotides. The record is from the annotation of a GenBank genome assembly. Lineage: Eukaryota; Metazoa; Chordata; Amphibia; Anura; Pelobatidae.
GUUUCUGUGUAUGUAUGGGAUGCAUUGAAUGUGUGUAAGGGGUGCAUUGAGUGUGUGUAAGGAAUGCAUUGUGUGUUUCUGUGUGUGUAAGGGAUGCAUUGUGUGUAACGGUUGCAUUGCUUGUGUAUGUGUGUCUGUGUGUGUAAUGCAUUGUGUGUUUUUCUGUGUGCAAGGGGUGCAUUGUGUGUAUGUGAUGAAUGUCAAUCUCUCCUCCCGCUCCAAUUUCCUUCUCUUCCUCC